UACCAGGAUAUUCCAAUUAUCUCCAGGUGAUCUUCCACCCAGCAAAGUCUGAUUUGGCAGAAGCUGUACUAAUCAUCAUCAGCUGCAUAUUUUCCUAGUCAGCACCCGUACUAGCUGCAUCAAGUGCUGGAGUCAACAAUCCCAUUUUAGCCUGUUUUGUUGCUUUGUUUUUUAAUCACUUCUCUUUCUUGGACUUUCCUUUUUUCUUUUUACUCUUGAUGUGUUUCCCAGACUUCUCUUUGGCUUCUUUUCUGUUGGUCCUAAAUGGGUAAGAUGUCACUCCAUGUGCUGACCUUGGACUUGCUUAUUGACAAUUCUCUUUACCACCAAACUCACCAAAUCCUUGAUAUUCCCCAUGAAUUUAAGUACCUUCUUUUCAUAUCUCUUCUUGUUCUCCUAGAAUGAGCUCCAUGGACUUUUCAACUCUGUUGGGGCGCUUAGAAGCAAAAAGCAGAACAAGUACAUGCCUGGCGCAUUACAGCCUUUGUCUUUAAACAGCUACAAGAAAUACUGAAGUGGCUCCAGAAUUGGAUUAUCACUCAUGACCGGGUGCACAGAAAAAAAGUGUUGGGGAGGAUUCCAGAGGAAGACAGUACUGCAUGAAAUUAAGCACCAAUGUACUCUCAUGCUAUGUCUUCCCUCCAAAUUGUUCCCAAUCUUUACUGCUUUACAGAAGUUUAGUGGAGUUCCAAAGUCUCAGACCUAGAUUGUCAUUUAAUAAUACAAAGUUUUGUAAAGUUAAAUUUUUAGCUAAAAACUCCAACCAGCAAGAUUAUUAGUCAUGUUGGCUGAGAUCUGUAAUCUACCAAUCUCUGCUUAAAGCCUCAUUUGGCUCUCAUCAUGAAUAAGCCUUCAUUCUCACUCUUAUUGGGACUAUAGUCAAUAAGACUGCACCCAAGCACUUCAUGAAAAUUCAGAACAUCUAAAAAUCCUUCUAAACAAAACUUGCACUGACAUGCAAAAGAUGAUGUUCUGUACUUAUCUUGGUCAGACCACACCUGGAAUACUGUGUCCAAUUUUGGGCACCGCAGUUGAAGGGAGAUGUUGAUAAGCUGGAAAGCGUCCAGAGGAGGGCAACUAAAAUGAUUAAGGGUUUGGAGAACAAGCCCUAUGAGGAGCGGCUUAAAGAGCUGGACACGUGUAGCCUGCAGAAGAGAAGGCUGAGAGGAGACAUGAUAGCCAUGUACGUGAGGGGAAGUCAUAGGGAGGAGGGAGCAAGCUUGUUUUCUGCUGCCCUGCAGACUAGGACACGGAACAAUGGCUUCAAACUACAGGAAAGGAGAUUCCACCUGAACAUCAGGAAGAACUUCCUCACUGUGAGAGCUGUUCAACAGUGGAACUCUCUCCCCCAGGCUGUGGUGGAGGCUCCUUCUUUGGAGGCUUUUAAGCAGAGGCUGGAUGGCCAUCUGUCGAGGGUGCUUUGAAUGCGAUUUCCUGCCUCUUAGCGGGGGGGUUGGACUGGAUGGUCCAUGAGGUCUCUUCCAACUCUACUAUUCUAUGAUUCUAUGAUUCUGUGAAACCAAGUCAAGUUAUAUUUGUUUAUUACAUGAAAUAUCAGGUGACAGUUCAGGUGACUGAACUGAACAUUAAUAUGUAAACCACAUUAUGACUCAAGGUAAGUAAACAAUUACUGAUGAUUAAUUAUGAAUUUUGCUGCAUUUUUAUAUCUCAAUAUUUACUUGUAUGUCCAGGGCUCAAAUUACUCAUUAUCAAUUUAAUCUUUCAUUUAAUAACGUAAUCGUGAAAUGAGUAUACCAUAGUUUAACGAUACGUGCCAGAACUGCAGUGGGCUUCUGGUUCACAGGAUUCAAACAAUUUGUUUCUCUUUUUAAGCUAACCACGGUUAUUCAUUAUGGAAUGGAUCCCAACUGAGGAGCUACUGGAAUCGACAUAUAUCCCUUUAUUCCUGGAUAAGAUAAUUGCCACUGAUCUGAAUGGGUCUUGAUGGAGAUUAAGUAUUUCCAUGUCUAGAUAAAACCUUCUAUCUCGACCAGGAUAGAUGAUAGUGAUAAAUGAUAACUAUAGGGCGGCAAAACAAAUUCACAUCAAAGUCUAGUUAAUGAUCUUAGCUAACAACACUGAUUAAACUAGUCCCCUCCAGGCAUUUUGGACUCCUAUCAGCCCCAAUGUGUAUGUCUAAUCAUCAGAAAAGAGAGAAGGAUAUGGAGUCAAGCAGACUUCCCUAAACUGCAGCUAACACUAAACAUAAUUUUCAGUUGAGUACCUGUGGCUAGCUGUAAAUGCAAGCUAAAAUAGGAUUUGCUUGCAGGCACAUGAGAGGACAUUCAUGCACAUAAUAAAACUUUCAGCAUUGUCUGAUGACCAGACCAAUGGGUAAAGGAGUUCAGCACUUCAAGGAGAGCCUCACAAUUUCUCCAAAAUUCCAAGUACAUACAAUGAUCUGGGGGUGUGAGUGUUGAAUAGUUAUUAAAACCCUCACUUUUCUCAUCACACUAGAGCAUGGAUCCACUUUAAAUUCAGUUUCUGCCUCCUGCAGAAUUCUAGGGGUUGUAGUUUAGUGAAGACCUGUCUGACUGAGCAGUUCAAAGGCCUCCCUCCAAGCAGCUGGAUUUAAAGUGAUCCAUGCUCUAAUAUGAAGAGGUUCCAAAUGUAGUAGAAAAGUUUUGUAGUCUACAUUAGUAAACUGCAAAACUGAGAUGUGCAUACUCUAGAGCGGUGGUUCUCAACCUGGGGUCCCCAGAUGUUUUUGGCCUACAACUACCAGAAAUCCCAGCCAGUUUCCCAGCUGUUAGGAUUUCUGGGAGUUGAACCCAAAAACAUCUGGAGACUCCAGGUUGAGAACCACUGCUCUAGACAGAAGACUAAAUAGCCCACAGAUCAUACCCAGUUCUUUCAACACUAGAAAAGAGGAGAAUCCCAUAGCCGAUCCUUAGGCAUCCAUCCCUCCAGCUAUGCCAUUUCUCCACUGUUCAGUAAAAAAAAACAUGCCAGUAGGAAAGAUGGGCCGAGUUUGUACUGUCAGCUGAUCAACAAAGAACAGCUGGCACUCUGCCCUUUUCCCCCCAACCAUUCUUUUGUUUCAACCUGUCAUUGGAGCACCACUGAAGAGCAAUGAAGGAUGGAUUGUAAGUGCAGGAACAUUAAAGCCAUUGCUCUCCUAAAGAAAAUUGCUGCAUCACACUACUCUCAUGCUGCUGCUAGAUACAGAAAUGUAGCAGGCUAGAAAAGGAAGAAUGGGCAACUUUGUCCUGCAAUUUGCAUAGGUUAUAAAGGGGGGCUCAUAUGCCUCUGGCAAGGGAGCACCUACCACAAGAAUGUAUAGGCACUAGCAUUACCAUAAAUUUAACACCUUUCCUCAGGCAAGAAACUGUGUGUGCACAGAUGGUGUGCCAUGCCAUUUGGAAGAGUAGGGUCUGACAAAUAAGAGUGGGAGGAGAGGAAAAUACUUGAUGCUCCUAAUGCUCCUCUUUUGAGACUUGAACUGGAUUGAUACUAUGUGGCCUGAUUUUGUACUUGAAAGGCCUUUCAGGCCUUAUCAGCAAAACUGAUUAAUGCUUUUUGUCCUUCUUGACAUGCUCUUGUGCCCCCCCCCCCCAAAUAUCCUCAUGUAUAUCAGCUUGGAAGGAGGAUAGGCUCCUCAUUAAUUUCCCCUAACCACUGCAGGUACAUGGACUCAAAUUACAUCCAACUGAGGCACAGUCCUAAUUUUAAAAACAGUGGUUCAGCCCACAUCAGAAGAAUGUUGUUUUCCUUUUCAAUCUUUAUAUAUAUACUAGCUUGGAGACCCGGCGGUGCCCGGGUUAUUAGAAGAAAGCAUUGUUUGUUUUGGGAUGUUAGGUAAUAUCAGUCAAGUUUGGUCCAGAUCCGUCAUCAGCUGGGUUCAGGGCUCUCUGGAUAAGGGUGAACUACAACUCAGAUCUGUGGUAAAUCACCCCCAAAUCAGGCCUAUAUGCACAGUUGGCCAUGUUGGGUCUGUGCGCCAUGUUUGGUCCAGAUAGGAUGUCAGCUGGGUUCAGUGCUUUCUGGAUGCAGGUGAACUAUAACUCCCAAAAUCAAGGUCCAUUCCCACUAACCCCUGAAGUAUGUUCAAUUGGCCGUGUGACUUUUCUGUGCCAAGUUUGGUCCCAGUCCAUUGUUGGUGGGGGGUCACAGUAUCAGUGAAGGUACUGCAAGUCCCAUUAUCCGUGGCAAGUUUGAUCCAGAUCCAUUAUUGGUUGGUUUAACAGUUUUCUCUGGAUGUAGGUAAAUCAUGUUUACUCUUGUAAAUCAUGGUGAAUUCUCCCCAAACCUCUUGUUCAGUUGCUGACCAAUUCCUCUGUGAACUGUAUGCUAUAGGAAAGGGUUAAGGUAUGGGCAUGGGUGGGGUCAUGCAAAUUAAGGAACCCUGGAUGUCCAUUCUGGAGGAAAAACAGAACAUCUAGAAUGAAAUAGUCCCCGCAUGAAAGCCUUCAUUGGGCGGGGGGCCGAAUGGUGUUUGUGGAGGACACUGGCAGAGUUUGGGCUAUAUAUUCAUGGUGCUCACUAUAACCUGCAUGUCAAUGGAGGGAGAGCCAUUGGUGUCUCCUGCUCAGUGAGAACUAUAGCUGUUUGUGGAGGCGGGAGGCUGUCUGUAAGUGGACACUUCUUCCACAUACACACAUACACAUUUUUCACUUUUAUUAUGUGUAUAGAUAUAUAUAGAUAUUGCUAUGUAGAGCAUCAGCACAGUUGUAAUUUAAGCUUUCCAGAAAUGGAGCUGACCUGUGAUGAUGGUGAAAUGUCUUCCGCAGAGUUCACAGAACAGAAGGAAAACCUGUUUUGGCAUUAUGAGUAAGAUGGGAAAAGCACAGACAUUUUCAAUACAACUUAGCUUAAAUGGAAAAAGCAACGAACUUUUUAAAAAAUUAGCUACUACCAAUAGGAUAUGUCCAUGCAUCAUUUCUAAACUUAAAGUCCUAUUGUCAGGAAUACCCAUGAUGGUAUUUCCUCUAAAUGGCUCCUAUGACACCCCCUCCUCUUGUUUGCAUUGAGGCUUUGCCAAAAAGCUAUUUAUCAACCAGUGAGAGUAGUUGGAAAGCACAAGGAGAGUAUGGGGGUGGGUGGGAGGGUGAGCAGAAGAACUGAACCAUCUGGGACUGAGGAAGAAGAAAGUGUCAUCAUUGUAUUGAUCUGACUGCAGUGUUGAUUGCCCUGCAGUGUCCCAGCCUACGAGAGACAAGAGAGAAGGGAUUGCAGAAGAGUCUUGCACAACUGGACUCAUGGGGCAGAAGAGCGAUUACUCAACGCUGGGAGACAAUUAGUGUUAUGCCUCCUGCUCUUGUCCAGAAUCACAACCAGGGCAAUAUUUCAUAGUCAGUGAUGCAGCUAAUAAGCCAAGGACCUCUGCUCUUUUUGCCAGGGAGUCUAAGCAAUAAGCAAAACUGUCAGGGAAGGCAAAGUGGUAUACGUGUGUGUCCUAUUUCAUUUUCCUUUUUGAUUAAACUACAGAAGUUUACAAAUAGAAAAAUUAGCCUUCAACCUUCCUGCCUGUCCUUCAUUCACCCAUUCCAUACCAGCAGUGAGGAGGAUUUUUGAGGAGAGCUUGGUAAAGAUAAUGUUACUCAUUAUGACAUUUAAAAAUCAGUACGUUACUUUUAGCAAUUUAAAGCCAACAAUGUUAAGUGUUAACAUUAUCACAACAUAUUGUGGUGGCUUCUCAGCUCCAGGGAUUCCUUGAAGAAACUGACCAUUUAGAUCAAUUGCAGUCUGGUUUCAGGCCUGGCCAUGUCACGGAGAUGGCUUCGCUCGUCGGGGAGGCCCUCCUCUCGCUUUCACCACCUUCGCAAUCGCGGUUGGUGGGGACGAGAGAGAGGGCCUUCUCCGUCGUGGCCCCCCGGCUUUGGAACUCGCUCCCUAGGGAGAUCAGGCAGGCCCCUACCCUACUCUCCUUCCGGAAGAGCCUAAAAACCUAGCUCUUCCAAAAGGCCUUCGAGGAUUAAUCAUUGUAGGUUGAUUUAUCUGCCCACUCAACAAUAGGAUGCCUGGCAAUUAUUACUUUGCACUUUAUUGACUAUUUUAGCUAUGAAUCUACCUCUCCUAUGUGAAGUUUUCUGCACUUUGGCCCAGAUCUGUGUUUUAGCCUCCUGUUUUUAGCAUUUUAUGCAGUAUGCUGACUUUUAUGACUGUUUUACUGAUGUUGAUGUCUUAUUGAUGUGGAAUUGUUUUACUGUUUUAUCGCUGUUAUUGUACUUUUAUGUCUGGCAUGGCCCCAUGUAAGCCGCUCCGGGUCCCUCCGGGGAGAUGGGGCGGGGUAUAAAAAUAAAGUUAUUAUUAUAUUAUUA
Anolis carolinensis (green anole) is the source of this 6260-nucleotide long non-coding RNA. RefSeq lists it as uncharacterized. The transcript has 2 exons. Lineage: Eukaryota; Metazoa; Chordata; Lepidosauria; Squamata; Anolidae. The record is from RefSeq and is a predicted model, not a curated record.